GUUUAGGGCCAUACCACCCUGCACACACCCGAUUUUGUAUGAUCUCAGAAGCUAAGCAGGGUCAGGCCUGGUUAGUACUUGGAUGGGAGACCACCUGGGAAUACCAGGUGCUGUAGGCU
This 119-nucleotide ribosomal RNA is filed under the name Jaculus jaculus (lesser Egyptian jerboa). The record is from RNAcentral. Lineage: Eukaryota; Metazoa; Chordata; Mammalia; Rodentia; Dipodidae.